RNAcentral lists this ribosomal RNA (254 nucleotides) under uncultured bacterium. Its description in RNAcentral is "partial 16S ribosomal RNA". It matches the Rfam family "Bacterial small subunit ribosomal RNA", at positions 524 to 776 of the family's 1533-position model. The record is from RNAcentral.
UACGUGGGGAGCAAGCGUUGUUCGGAUUUACUGGGCGUAAAGGGCGCGUAGGCGGCCACCGCAAGUCAAUUGUGAAAUCUCCGGGCUUAACUCGGAAAGGUCAACUGAUACUGCGGGGCUAGAGUGCGGAAGGGGCAACUGGAAUUCUCGGUGUAGCGGUGAAAUGCGUAGAUAUCGAGAGGAACACCUGCGGCGAAGGCGGGUUGCUGGGCCGACACUGACGCUGAGGCGCGAAAGCCAGGGGAGCGAACGGG